Molecule: non-coding RNA, 273 nt
Organism: Cyanistes caeruleus (blue tit)
Lineage: Eukaryota; Metazoa; Chordata; Aves; Passeriformes; Paridae
Source: RefSeq, a predicted model, not a curated record
ACAGCUCAGUGUGCAGUGAGGACCAGGAAGCAAUACAGGCUCAGAAGAUCUGGAAGAAAGCCAUCAUGCUGGUUUGGAGAGCAGCAGCUAAUCACAGGUAUGCCAAUGUCUUCUUACAGCCUGUAACUGAUGACAUAGCACCAGGCUACCACAGCAUCGUGCAGAGGCCAAUGGAUUUAUCUACCAUCAAAAAGAACAUUGAGAACGGGCUGAUCCGAACCACAGCUGAGUUCCAGCGGGAUAUUAUGCUGAUGUUUCAGAAUGCAGUGAUGU